Non-coding RNA from Macaca mulatta (Rhesus monkey), 1486 nucleotides. The record is from RefSeq and is a predicted model, not a curated record. NCBI's taxonomy places the organism in Eukaryota, Metazoa, Chordata, Mammalia, Primates, Cercopithecidae.
CAAGCUGACGUUCUAGAUAAUCCAAGGUUAAUGUGAAGCGUCGCUCGUAUCCCUUGCUAGACUGUCUCUGAUUCACAGUUUGAGAAGCGCGAGGGGUGCAAUGAAAUUUCCAAUUCUACUUCCUUGGGUCACUUUGCCUCAGUUGUCUUAUCAGCGUAAACGGGAAAUUAAUAUCUCCCUCGUGGCACUGGCAGGAGAAUUUAUAGGGCCAAUGCACACGAUAGAGCACCUGGGUCAUAGAAGAAAGCACUGAGCUCAUUCUGGUUGAAAGUCAUCCACUAGUUAUCUUCUUGUGACCUUUAACUUUUCUAAGGCCGAGGGGAAGGACUUCCGAGCACAGGCAGCUGGAACUCCAGGGCUGUUAGAGCCACCGCGGGCACCUUCACAAACAGCGGGUUAACACCCCAACCCUAUAUAGGCAAGCCCGGCCUGGGAACAACAAACGAGUGGGGAAGCACGUCCUUUUGGCUGGACUGAAGCCGCCACUUUCCCUUCCGCGACAAACUUGGUGACUUACAAAGAAGAGAGAAAACGGAGUGAGCUGCAGCGAAAAUAAACGGUGGAGCGCGACGAUGCCCGCCAAGAAGACUCCCCAGUCACUUACCCGCCUGCUUGCCAGCCAUUUUGACCAGAAAAUGAAACGUUGCCUUCUGGGUAAGUCAUAGAGGACACGCUGGGCCCAGUCCGCAGGCGCGUUACGCCACAUCGCGAACCGAGAAACGCCGCUUGCGCAGGCGCAGUUCUGACGGCUGUCGUUGAGCUCUUGCGUGUGCACUUCUCGGCAAGGGUGAGGCCAAUGGAGUAGUAGGCGGGGCGUUUUGCGUGCUACAUUCCAAGAAGUAUUGGUUGUGAUGUGAUGGGAAGAACACAGCCAAAGUGAAGUCUGAAAGAUGUGAAGAAAUGCAAUACAUAUGUACAUUGGCACAUUGCCCUGCAGAGGAAUCAAAAUGAAAUGAAUCUGACCUCUGCGAGAGCAACUGGGAAAAUAUGUCUUACCUGCCUCAAACUAAAACUCCUAAAAACUACAGUGAGAAGCAACUUUAGAAAGGAGUCAGAAGCAGGCAAGGCUCUACAGCCGACUGCAGAAAGAAGAGAGAAAUGGGAGAUCUGGCCAGACUUGAGCUACAGCCCUGAAGCCUGAGAGAUCUGUGAGGCCCCCUAGCGAGGCUCAGAGGAAGCCCUUUCAAUAUUAUGCCUGCCUCAAGCUCUCCUCUUGGCUGUUACAGACACAAUGUGAACACAGGACAUGAUACACAACCCCUAGGCCUCUUUCCCUACAUUCAAGUGAAAACAGUAACAGAUCAGUUGGAAAGGACACUAUGAAAAACAAUUGUUGAAAACCAAAGUACUAUGAGAAGAGUGACUACAAAAAGUACAGGGUGCUACCUCAACAUGGGAUUGGCUUGCUUUUGGAACAGAACAUCUCUCUUUUCAGUCUCUGCUAUUCUGCCCUUGUUCUGAUCAUUAAAUUCCCAUGAUCACAAUA